CGACGACUCGCUGUACCCCAUCGCGGUGCUCAUAGACGAACUCCGCAAUGAGGACGUUCAGCUUCGCCUCAACAGCAUCAAGAAGCUGUCCACCAUCGCCUUGGCCCUUGGGGUUGAAAGGACCCGAAGUGAGCUUCUGCCUUUCCUUACAGAUACCAUCUAUGAUGAAGAUGAAGUCCUCCUGGCCCUGGCAGAACAGCUGGGAACCUUCACUACCCUGGUGGGAGGCCCAGAGUACGUGCACUGCCUGCUGCCACCGCUGGAGUCGCUGGCCACAGUGGAGGAGACAGUGGUGCGGGACAAGGCAGUGGAGUCCUUACGGGCCAUCUCACACGAGCACUCGCCCUCUGACCUGGAGGCGCACUUUGUGCCGCUAGUGAAGCGGCUGGCGGGCGGCGACUGGUUCACCUCCCGGACCUCGGCCUGCGGCCUCUUCUCCGUCUGCUACCCCCGAGUGUCCAGUGCUGUGAAGGCGGAACUUCGACAGUGAGUCUCUGCCUCCUUGGAAGCUCCAAGCUCCCAUCUCAGCUCCAACCUUCUCUAAAGCCUCAGACUCCUUUCGGUCUAGCUGGGGCCCAAAUGCCCCUGAACUCUCUCCACUCCCACUCCUGCUUACCACCUGAUAGGCCACAUCCUCGAGAGUUGGUCUCUGGACACGACCACGUGUCAGUUUACCCACCUCUGCCCC
Molecule: small RNA, 688 nt
Filed under: Pan troglodytes (chimpanzee)
Lineage: Eukaryota; Metazoa; Chordata; Mammalia; Primates; Hominidae
Description: retained intron
Source: RNAcentral